RNAcentral lists this long non-coding RNA (567 nucleotides) under Elaeis guineensis (African oil palm). Its description in RNAcentral is "long non-coding RNA (EGUI_LNC067864)". The record is from RNAcentral. Lineage: Eukaryota; Viridiplantae; Streptophyta; Magnoliopsida; Arecales; Arecaceae.
GGGUGAAGGCCUGGGAAUGCAUUGCGGGCAUUGCGGGUGUUUUAGAGGCUAGGGGAACAAGCGGCGCUGCUAGAGCUGAUGAUAAACCGAUAGUGACAAUCUACUAUAGCCUAGUGUAGUUGAGGAGGUGUCGGUGCUGGAGCAGGCAGUGGCAGCAAUGCUAUGGGCUGGAAGGAGAGCAUGAAGAUUGAAGGGUUUGUUUGGUUCUGAUUGAGGUUUUUUCUCGAGCAUACGGGUUUUUAUGCAAUUCAUGGUAGUCUAAGUGGCAAAGGACUAAAGAGGAGGAGGUGGCGCCGAUGCUGUAGCGGGCGGUGGCGGCAGUGUCAGGACCCAAAAAGAGAGCACGGAGAUCGGAGGGGUUUCUUAGGUUUCGGUUGGAGUUUUUUCUCGAGCAUAUACAUUUUGGCACGAGUUGUGAUGAUGUGAGUGGCAGAGGGCUGAGGAGGAGGAGGCGAUGUCGGUGCUGGAAUGGGCGGUGGCAGUAGUGCCGGGUCUCGGAAGGAGAGCAUGGAGAUUGAAGGGGUUUCUUAGGUUUUGAUUGAGGUUUUUUCUCGAGCUUAUGGGUCU